AUGUGUAGCUGGACUGAGAGGUCGAACAGCCACAUUGGGACUGAGACACGGCCCAAACUCCUACGGGAGGCAGCAGUAGGGAAUUUUCGGCAAUGGAGGAAACUCUGACCGAGCAACGCCGCGUGAACGAUGAAGUAUUUCGGUAUGUAAAGUUCUUUUAUUGAAGAAGAAAAAAUAGUGGAAAAACUAUCUUGACGUUAUUCAAUGAAUAAGCCCCGGCUAACUAUGUGCCAGCAGCCGCGGUAAGACAUAGGGGGCGAGCGUUAUCCGGAAUUAUUGGGCGUAAAGGGUGCGUAGGCGGUUAGGAAAGUCUAUAAUUUAAUUUCAGUGCUUAACGCUGUCUUGUUAUAGAAACUACCUUGACUAGAGUUAGAUAGAGGCAAGCGGAAUUCCAUGUGUAGCGGUAAAAUGUGUAAAUAUAUGGAGGAACACCAGAAGCGUAGGCGGCUUGCUGGGUCUUGACUGACGCUGAGGCACGAAAGCGUGGGUAGCAAACAGGAUUAGAUACCCUGGUAGUCCACGCCGUAAACGAUGAGUACUAAGUGUCGGGAUAAAACUCGGUACUGAAGUUAACACAUUAAGUACUCCGCCUGAGUAGUACGUACGCAAGUAUGAAACUUAAAGGAAUUGACGGGACUCCGCACAAGCGGUGGAUCAUGUUGUUUAAUUCGAAGAUACACGAAAAAUCUUACCAGGUCUUGACAUGCUCUGCAAAGCUAUAGAAAUAUAGUGGAGGUUAUCAGGGACACAGGUGGUGCAUGGUUGUCGUCAGUUCGUGUCGUGAGAUGUUAGGUUAAGUCCUAAAACGAGCGCAACCCUUGUCGUUAGUUACCAGCACGUAAUGGUGGGCACUUUAACGAGACUGCCAAUUAAACAUUGGAGGAAGGUGAGGAUUACGUCAAAUCAUCAUGCCCCUUAUGAU
This 922-nucleotide ribosomal RNA is filed under the name Candidatus Phytoplasma fraxini. Its description in RNAcentral is "bacterial SSU rRNA". It matches the Rfam family "Bacterial small subunit ribosomal RNA", at positions 279 to 1208 of the family's 1533-position model. The record is from RNAcentral. Lineage: Bacteria; Bacillati; Mycoplasmatota; Mollicutes; Acholeplasmatales; Acholeplasmataceae.